RNAcentral lists this unclassified non-coding RNA (202 nucleotides) under Hevea brasiliensis (rubber tree). Lineage: Eukaryota; Viridiplantae; Streptophyta; Magnoliopsida; Malpighiales; Euphorbiaceae. The record is from RNAcentral.
GGUUGGAGGAGGUGGAGUAGUGGAUGCUGAUGGUUGUGCGCUACCAGAUCGGUUGUUUGAUGGAGGAAGUGAAAUCCCAAAGGGUGGGCUACUAGUAGGGGAAGGGGUUUGCUGACUCUGAUUACUAACUAAAAGUGGAUUUCCAACGAUAAUGAGCUUCACACUUUUCUGAAAUUUGGGAAAAGGAGGACUAAGAUUGUUG